GAAUCUUCCGCAAUGGACGAAAGUCCGACGGAGCAACGCCGCGUGAGUGAUGAAGGUUUUCGGAUCGUAAAACUCUGUUGUUAGGGAAGAACAAGUACGAGAGUAACUGCUCGUGCCUUGACGGUACCUAACCAGAAAGCCACGGCUAACUACGUGCCAGCAGCCGCGGUAAUACGUAGGUGGCGAGCGUUGUCCGGAAUUAUUGGGCGUAAAGCGCGCGCAGGCGGUCCUUUAAGUCUGAUGUGAAAGCCCACGGCUCAACCGUGGAGGGUCAUUGGAAACUGGGGGACUUGAGUACAGAAGAGAAGAGUGGAAUUCCACGUGUAGCGGUGAAAUGCGUAGAGAUGUGGAGGAACACCAGUGGCGAAGGCGACUCUUUGGUCUGUAACUGACGCUGAGGCGCGAAAGCGUGGGGAGCAAA
This 421-nucleotide ribosomal RNA is filed under the name uncultured bacterium. RNAcentral's name for it is "bacterial SSU rRNA". It matches the Rfam family "Bacterial small subunit ribosomal RNA", at positions 359 to 772 of the family's 1533-position model. The record is from RNAcentral.